RNAcentral lists this ribosomal RNA (497 nucleotides) under uncultured bacterium. RNAcentral's name for it is "partial 16S ribosomal RNA". It matches the Rfam family "Bacterial small subunit ribosomal RNA", at positions 28 to 507 of the family's 1533-position model. The record is from RNAcentral.
GAUGAACGCUGGCGGCGUGCCUAAUACAUGCAAGUCGAGCGAACAGACGAGGAGCUUGCUCCUCUGACGUUAGCGGCGGACGGGUGAGUAACACGUGGAUAACCUACCUAUAAGACUGGGAUAACUUCGGGAAACCGGAGCUAAUACCGGAUAAUAUAUUGAACCACAUGGUUCAAUAGUGAAAGACGGUUUUGCUGUCACUUAUAGAUGGAUCCGCGCCGCAUUAGCUAGUUGGUAAGGUAACGGCUUACCAAGGCAACGAUGCGUAGCCGACCUGAGAGGGUGAUCGGCCACACUGGAACUGAGACACGGUCCAGACUCCUACGGGAGGCAGCAGUAGGGAAUCUUCCGCAAUGGGCGAAAGCUUGACGGAGCAACGCCGCGUGAGUGGUGAAGGUCUUCGGAUCGUAAAACUCUGUUAUUAGGGAAGAACAAAUGUGUAAGUAACUAUGCACGUCUUGACGGUACCUAAUCAGAAAGCCACGGCUAACUACGUG